This 477-nucleotide ribosomal RNA is filed under the name uncultured bacterium. RNAcentral's name for it is "partial 16S ribosomal RNA". It matches the Rfam family "Bacterial small subunit ribosomal RNA", at positions 28 to 507 of the family's 1533-position model. The record is from RNAcentral.
GAUGAACGCUGGCGGCGUGCCUAAUACAUGCAAGUCGAGCGGACGGACGCGGAGCUUGCGUGUUUGAUGUUAGCGGAGGACGGGUGAGUAACACGUGGAUCACCUACCUAUAUGUCGGGGAUCACUUCGGGAAACCGGAGCUAAUCCCGGAGAAUCUUUUGAACCGUGGGGGUCAAUGGUGAAAGACGGUCGUGUUGUAGCUUAUCGAUGGAUUGUCGCUGUAUCAGCUGGUUGGUAAGGUAACGGCUUACCAAGGGAAGGAUGGGUAGCCGCCCUGAGAGGGUGACCGGCGACAUUGGGACUGAGGUACGGCCCAGACACCUACGGGCGGCAGCAGGGGGGAAUAUUGCACAAUGGGCGGAAGGCUGGUGAAGCAACUCCGCGUGCGGGAUGACGGUCUUCGGGUUGUAAACCGCUUUCGCCUGUGACGAAGCGUGAGUGACGGUAAUGGGUAAAGAAGCACCGGCUAACUACGUG